AGAAGGAGGUGGGAUAAAUGGUUCUGGCUUAGAGAAAGAGGAGUGAGUCAUCCAGUGUCCUCUCCUCAUUCCAUAGAAGGAAGCUCCUUCAUGGUGCCCAGGGACACCCCAGGAAUGGAAGGUGGAUGCUAUG
Long non-coding RNA from Suricata suricatta (meerkat), 133 nucleotides. RefSeq lists it as uncharacterized. The transcript has 3 exons. The record is from RefSeq and is a predicted model, not a curated record. Lineage: Eukaryota; Metazoa; Chordata; Mammalia; Carnivora; Herpestidae.